AGACAACAAAAUGUUUAAUAUUAUUAUUUUGUCACCUUAGGUCGAUCGGUAUCUCACGUUUUUAAUUUAUUAAGAAUUUCAUUUCCUAAGUUUUUCUAGGUCACACCCAUUAUUUUUCCUGGGCCAUUAGCUCAGGUGGUUAGAGCGCACCCCUGAUAAGGGUUAGGUCCCUGGUUCAAGUCCAGGAUGGCCCAUAUCUCUAUGUUGGGGGUAUAGCUCAGUUGGUAGAGCGCCUGCUUUGCAAGCAGGAUGUCAGCGGUUCGAGUCCGCUUACCUCCACUGAUUACCACCUCUUCCAUAACCGGUAGAAAGGAAAUGUUUUGAGUUGUGAUCAAAUUCUGAAAGAAUCUAGCUUCCUAAUGAAAUCAUUAAGAUGCUGGACUCAUUGAAUUAAUUUCAUUGUUUUCAGAGAACCUUGACAACUGCAUAGAUUAUUUUUAAAGACAAUAGGCAUUUUUAAUGAUGCAGAUUUAUUAUUUGUGCGAAUGCAUUAAAUAACAAUUCUAUUAAGCUGAUGCUUCAAUUUUUGAAGUUAUU
This 537-nucleotide transfer RNA is filed under the name uncultured cyanobacterium. Its description in RNAcentral is "partial 16S-23S intergenic spacer". The stretch from base 207 to 279 matches the Rfam family "tRNA". The record is from RNAcentral. Lineage: Bacteria; Bacillati; Cyanobacteriota.